Molecule: ribosomal RNA, 253 nt
Filed under: uncultured bacterium
Lineage: Bacteria
Description: partial 16S ribosomal RNA
Rfam family: Bacterial small subunit ribosomal RNA
Source: RNAcentral
UACGAAGGGUGCUAGCGUUGUUCGGAAUCACUGGGCGUAAAGCGCACGUAGGCGGCUUUUUAAGUCGGGGGUGAAAUCCUGGAGCUCAACUCCAGAACUGCCUUUGAUACUGAGAAGCUUGAGUCCGGGAGAGGUGAGUGGAACUGCGAGUGUAGAGGUGAAAUUCGUAGAUAUUCGCAAGAACACCAGUGGCGAAGGCGGCGCACUGGCCCGGUACUGACGCUGAGGUGCGAAAGCGUGGGGAGCAAACAGG